AUGAAAACAGACCUGUCUUCUCUUUCUUGGGCGGGGCUCCAAAUUCAUGUAUGUUUACCAAUUAACCAAUUUCUUGACGCUAGGGUGGAUCCUAAAGAGAUGCCACUUCCUCAUGAAUUUAUCUUGAAUCGGGACCUUUUGGCUCAACUUUAUCCUAGUUUUGCCAAAGGAGCAACCCCUUUUUUCACUUUAAAUUGGUCCAAAUACGCAGAAUUUCUGACUUUUCGCGGAGGACUAGAUCUAGUAACCGGUGGUCUCUGGCUGACAGAUAUUGCGCACCAUCAUUUAGCUAUUGCUAUUCUUUUCCUAAUCGCAGGUCAUAUGUAUAGGACCAAUUGGGGUAUUGACCAUGGACUUAAAGAUAUUUUGGAGGCUCACAAGGGCCCAUUUACAGGAUAA
Molecule: ribosomal RNA, 399 nt
Filed under: Triticum aestivum (bread wheat)
Lineage: Eukaryota; Viridiplantae; Streptophyta; Magnoliopsida; Poales; Poaceae
Description: partial small subunit ribosomal RNA
Source: RNAcentral